RNAcentral lists this ribosomal RNA (329 nucleotides) under uncultured eukaryote. Its description in RNAcentral is "partial 18S ribosomal RNA". It matches the Rfam family "Eukaryotic small subunit ribosomal RNA", at positions 1470 to 1796 of the family's 1831-position model. The record is from RNAcentral.
CCCUUAGAUGUCCUGGGCCGCACGCGCGUUACACUGAUGCAUUCAACGAGCUUAUAACCUUGGCCGAGAGGCCUGGGCAAUCUUGUUAACGUGCAUCGUGAUAGGGAUAGAUUAUUGAAAUUAUUAAUCUUGAACGAGGAAUUCCUAGUAAACGCAGAUCAUCAAUCUGCAUUGAUUACGUCCCUGCCCUUUGUACACACCGCCCGUCGCUCCUACCGAUUGAGUGUGUUGGUGAGGAGUUCGGAUUGGCUCUUAGUGGUGGUUCGCCACCACCUAGAGCUGAGAAGUUCUCCAAACCGCCCCACUUAGAGGAAGGAGAAGUCGUAACA